Molecule: transfer RNA, 56 nt
Filed under: Bos taurus (domestic cattle)
Lineage: Eukaryota; Metazoa; Chordata; Mammalia; Artiodactyla; Bovidae
Also listed under: 5 other names
Rfam family: tRNA
About the family: Transfer RNA (tRNA) molecules are approximately 80 nucleotides in length. Their secondary structure includes four short double-helical elements and three loops (D, anti-codon, and T loops).
Source: Rfam by way of RNAcentral
UAUCUGGAUGGUAAAGAAUCUGCCUGCAAUGCAGGAGACCUGGGUUUGAUUCCUGG